GACGAACGCUGGCGGCGUGCUUAACACAUGCAAGUCGAACGGAAAGGCCCUGCUUUUGUGGGGUGCUCGAUUGGCGAACGGGUGAGUAACACGUGAGUAACCUGCCCUUGACUUUGGGAUAACUUCAGGAAACUGGGGCGAAUACCGGAUAGGAGCUCCUGCUGCAUGGUGGGGGUUGGAAAGUUUCGGCGGUUGGGGAUGGACUCGCGGCUUAUCAGCUUGUUGGUGGGGUAGUGGCUUACCAAGGCUUUGACGGGUAGCCGGCCUGAGAGGGUGACCGGCCACAUUGGGACUGAGAUACGGCCCAGACUCCUACGGGAGGCAGCAGUGGGGAAUAUUGCACAAUGGGCGGAAGCCUGAUGCAGAAACGCCGCGUGCGGGAUGACGGCCUUCGGGUUGUAAACCGCUUUCGCCUGUGACGAAGCGUGAGUGACGGUAAUGGGUAAAGAAGCACCGGCUAACUACGUG
Molecule: ribosomal RNA, 468 nt
Filed under: uncultured bacterium
Lineage: Bacteria
Description: partial 16S ribosomal RNA
Rfam family: Bacterial small subunit ribosomal RNA
Source: RNAcentral